This 468-nucleotide ribosomal RNA is filed under the name uncultured bacterium. Its description in RNAcentral is "partial 16S ribosomal RNA". It matches the Rfam family "Bacterial small subunit ribosomal RNA", at positions 28 to 507 of the family's 1533-position model. The record is from RNAcentral.
GACGAACGCUGGCGGCGUGCUUAACACAUGCAAGUCGAACGGAAAGGCCCUGCUUUUGUGGGGUGCUCGAGUGGCGAACGGGUGAGUAACACGUGAGUAACCUGCCCUUGACUUUGGGAUAACUUCAGGAAACUGGGGCUAAUACCGGAUAGGAGCUCCUGCUGCAUGGUGGGGGUUGGAAAGUUUCGGCGGUUGGGGAUGGACUCGCGGCUUAUCAGCUUGUUGGUGGGGUAGUGGCUUACCAAGGCUUUGACGGGUAGCCGGCCUGAGAGGGUGACCGGCCACAUUGGGACUGAGGUACGGCCCAGACUCCGACGGGAGGCAGCAGUGGGGAAUAUUGCACAAUGGGCGGAAGCCUGAUGCAGAAACGCCGCGUGCGGGAUGACGGCCUUCGGGUUGUAAACCGCUUUCGCCUGUGACGAAGCGUGAGUGACGGUAAUGGGUAAAGAAGCACCGGCUAACUACGUG